GAUGAACGCUAGCGGCAGGCUUAAUACAUGCAAGUCGUGGGGCAGCAUGAGUAGCAAUACUUGAUGGCGACCGGCAAACGGGUGAGGAACACGUACACAACCUUCCUUCAAGCGGGGAAUAGCCCAGAGAAAUUUGUAUUAAUACCCCAUAAUAUAUUUGAUAAGGCAUCUUAUUAAUAUUAAAGCUUCGGCACUUGAUGAUGGGUGUGCGGCUGAUUAGAUAGUUGGCGGGUAACGGCCCACCAAGUCUACGAUCAGUAGCUGAUGUGAGAGCAUGAUCAGCCACACGGGCACUGAGACACGGGCCCGACUCCUACGGGAGGCAGCAGUAAGGAAUAUUGGACAAUGGACGAAAGUCUGAUCCAGCCAUGCCGCGUGAAGGAUUAAGGUCCUCUGGAUUGUAAACUUCUUUUAUAUGGGACGAAAAAGGGCAUUCUUGUUCACUUGACGGUACCAUAUGAAUAAGCACCGGCUAACUCCGUGCCAG
This 487-nucleotide ribosomal RNA is filed under the name uncultured bacterium. Its description in RNAcentral is "bacterial SSU rRNA". It matches the Rfam family "Bacterial small subunit ribosomal RNA", at positions 28 to 511 of the family's 1533-position model. The record is from RNAcentral.